This 203-nucleotide long non-coding RNA is filed under the name Vigna radiata. RNAcentral describes it as "long non-coding RNA (VRAD_LNC003688)". The record is from RNAcentral. Lineage: Eukaryota; Viridiplantae; Streptophyta; Magnoliopsida; Fabales; Fabaceae.
CAAACCAGAAAUAUUCAAUCAUGAUAUUAAGCAUUAAAUUAAUUAACCACAAUUUAAAUGCAAAGGUAGCUUUUCAUAAUCAUAAAACAUACUCAACAAAAUUUCCAUAUUCAUCGUACAAUAAAGAAAAAGUAAGCUUCUCAUAUCUUAGCCAAUUAUAAAGCUUUAACUAUAAAGAUCAAUCAAUCACAAACCCUUCUCCU